UACGGAGGGUGCAAGCGUUGUUCGGAAUUAUUGGGCGUAAAGGGCGCGUAGGCGGUGCGGUAAGUCCGCAGUGAAAUCUCUGGGCUCAACUCAGAGUCUGCUGUGGAAACUGCCGUGCUAGAGUGUGGGAGAGGUGAGUGGAAUUCCCGGUGUAGCGGUGAAAUGCGUAGAUAUCUGCAGGAACACCCGUGGCGAAAGCGGCGCGCUGGACCGUUACUGACGCUGAGGCACGAAAGCUAGGGGAGCAAACAGG
This 253-nucleotide ribosomal RNA is filed under the name uncultured prokaryote. RNAcentral's name for it is "partial 16S ribosomal RNA". It matches the Rfam family "Bacterial small subunit ribosomal RNA", at positions 524 to 776 of the family's 1533-position model. The record is from RNAcentral.